This 406-nucleotide ribosomal RNA is filed under the name uncultured bacterium. RNAcentral's name for it is "partial 16S ribosomal RNA". It matches the Rfam family "Bacterial small subunit ribosomal RNA", at positions 30 to 526 of the family's 1533-position model. The record is from RNAcentral.
AUUGAACGCUGGCGGCAGGCCUAACACAUGCAAGUCGAGCGAGCGGCGGACGGGUGAGUAAUGUCUGGGGAACUGCCUGAUAGAGGGGGAUAACUACUGGAAACGGUAGCUAAUACCGCAUACCAUCGGAUGUACCCAGAUGGGAUUAGCUGGUUGGUGGGGUAAAGGCUCACCUAGGCGACGAUCCCUAGCUGGUCUGAGAGGAUGAACAGCCACACUGGAACUGAGACACGGCCCAGACUCCUACGGGAGGCAGCAGUGGGGAAUAUUGCACAAUGGGCGCAAGCCUGAUGCAGCCAUGCCGCGUGUAUGAAGAAGGCCUUCGGGUUGUAAAGUACUUUCAGCGGGGAGGCGUUACCCGCAGAAGAAGCACCGGCUAACUCCGUGCCAGCAGCCGCGGUAAUUC